Molecule: small RNA, 29 nt
Filed under: Bombyx mori (domestic silkworm)
Lineage: Eukaryota; Metazoa; Arthropoda; Insecta; Lepidoptera; Bombycidae
Description: ovarian small RNA-20837
Source: RNAcentral
UACCUAUAGAUUGGUGAUGAUAAGCGGUC